This 759-nucleotide ribosomal RNA is filed under the name uncultured bacterium. Its description in RNAcentral is "bacterial SSU rRNA". It matches the Rfam family "Bacterial small subunit ribosomal RNA", at positions 1 to 807 of the family's 1533-position model. The record is from RNAcentral.
CCUUAGAGUUUGAUCCUGGCUCAGAGCGAACGCUGGCGGCAGGCUUAACACAUGCAAGUCGAGCGGGCGUAGCAAUACGUCAGCGGCAGACGGGUGAGUAACGCGUGGGAACGUACCUUUUGGUUCGGAACAACACAGGGAAACUUGUGCUAAUACCGGAUAAGCCCUUACGGGGAAAGAUUUAUCGCCGAAAGAUCGGCCCGCGUCUGAUUAGCUAGUUGGUGAGGUAACGGCUCACCAAGGCGACGAUCAGUAGCUGGUCUGAGAGGAUGAUCAGCCACAUUGGGACUGAGACACGGCCCAAACUCCUACGGGAGGCAGCAGUGGGGAAUAUUGGACAAUGGGGGCAACCCUGAUCCAGCCAUGCCGCGUGAGUGAUGAAGGCCCUAGGGUUGUAAAGCUCUUUUGUGCGGGAAGAUAAUGACGGUACCGCAAGAAUAAGCCCCGGCUAACUUCGUGCCAGCAGCCGCGGUAAUACGAAGGGGGCUAGCGUUGCUCGGAAUCACUGGGCGUAAAGGGUGCGUAGGCGGAUCUUUAAGUCAGAGGUGAAAGCCUGGAGCUCAACUCCAGAACUGCCUUUGAUACUGGGGAUCUUGAGUUCGGGAGAGGUGAGUGGAACUGCGAGUGUAGAGGUGAAAUUCGUAGAUAUUCGCAAGAACACCAGUGGCGAAGGCGGCUCACUGGCCCGAUACUGACGCUGAGGCACGAAAGCGUGGGGAGCAAACAGGAUUGGAUACCCUGGUAGUCCACGCCGUAAAC